GCUAGAGUGGCAGAGCCUGGUAAUUGCAGGAGGCCUAAGACCUCCCACCCAGAGGUUCAAAUCCUCUCUCUAGCU
Molecule: transfer RNA, 75 nt
Filed under: Sardinella longiceps (Indian oil sardine)
Lineage: Eukaryota; Metazoa; Chordata; Actinopteri; Clupeiformes; Clupeidae
Also listed under: 2 other names
Description: tRNA-Leu
Rfam family: tRNA
About the family: Transfer RNA (tRNA) molecules are approximately 80 nucleotides in length. Their secondary structure includes four short double-helical elements and three loops (D, anti-codon, and T loops).
Source: RNAcentral